This 916-nucleotide ribosomal RNA is filed under the name uncultured bacterium. Its description in RNAcentral is "bacterial SSU rRNA". It matches the Rfam family "Bacterial small subunit ribosomal RNA", at positions 8 to 880 of the family's 1533-position model. The record is from RNAcentral.
AGAGUUUGAUCAUGGCUCAGGAUGAACGCUGGCGGCGUGCCUAAUACAUGCAAGUCGUACGCUUUGUCUUUAAUUGAUAUGAAGAGCUUGCUCUGAUUUGAUUUUAUCCGACAAAGAGUGGCGAACGGGUGAGUAACACGUGGGUAACCUACCUCUUAGCAGGGGAUAACAUUUGGAAACAAGUGCUAAUACCGUAUAACACUAACAACCGCAUGGUUGUUAGUUGAAAGAUGGUUCUGCUAUCACUAAGAGAUGGACCCGCGGUGCAUUAGCUAGUUGGUAAGGUAAUGGCUUACCAAGGCGAUGAUGCGUAGCCGAGUUGAGAGACUGAUCGGCCACAAUGGGACUGAGACACGGCCCAUACUCCUACGGGAGGCAGCAGUAGGGAAUCUUCCACAAUGGGCGCAAGCCUGAUGGAGCAACGCCGCGUGCGUGAUGAAGGGUUUCGGCUCGUAAAACACUGUUAUAAGAGAAGAACGACAUUGAGAGUAACUGUUCAGUGUGUGACGGUAUCUUAUCAGAAAGGAACGGCUAAAUACGUGCCAGCAGCCGCGGUAAUACGUAUGUUCCAAGCGUUAUCCGGAUUUAUUGGGCGUAAAGCGAGCGCAGACGGUUAUUUAAGUCUGAAGUGAAAGCCCUCAGCUCAACUGAGGAAGGGCUUUGGAAACUGGAUAACUUGAGUGCAGUAGAGGAAAGUGGAACUCCAUGUGUAGCGGUGAAAUGCGUAGAUAUAUGGAAGAACACCGGUGGCGAAAGCGGCUUUCUGGACUGUAACUGACGUUGAGGCUCGAAAGUGUGGGUAGCAAACAGGAUUAGAUACCCUGGUAGUCCACACCGUAAACGAUGAGUGCUAGAUGUUCGAGGGUUUCCGCCCUUGAGUGUCGCAGCUAACGCAUUAAGCACUCCGCCUGGGGAG